RNAcentral lists this ribosomal RNA (553 nucleotides) under Streptomyces sp. 303F01. Its description in RNAcentral is "bacterial SSU rRNA". It matches the Rfam family "Bacterial small subunit ribosomal RNA", at positions 95 to 662 of the family's 1533-position model. The record is from RNAcentral. Lineage: Bacteria; Bacillati; Actinomycetota; Actinomycetes; Kitasatosporales; Streptomycetaceae.
GUGGCGAACGGGUGAGUAACACGUGGGCAAUCUGCCCUUCACUCUGGGACAAGCCCUGGAAACGGGGUCUAAUACCGGAUAACACCUGCCCGGGCAUCCGGGUGGGUUAAAAGCUCCGGCGGUGAAGGAUGAGCCCGCGGCCUAUCAGCUUGUUGGUGAGGUAGUGGCUCACCAAGGCGACGACGGGUAGCCGGCCUGAGAGGGCGACCGGCCACACUGGGACUGAGACACGGCCCAGACUCCUACGGGAGGCAGCAGUGGGGAAUAUUGCACAAUGGGCGAAAGCCUGAUGCAGCGACGCCGCGUGAGGGAUGACGGCCUUCGGGUUGUAAACCUCUUUCAGCAGGGAAGAAGCGAAAGUGACGGUACCUGCAGAAGAAGCGCCGGCUAACUACGUGCCAGCAGCCGCGGUAAUACGUAGGGCGCAAGCGUUGUCCGGAAUUAUUGGGCGUAAAGAGCUCGUAGGCGGCUUGUCACGUCGGGUGUGAAAGCCCGGGGCUUAACCCCGGGUCUGCAUUCGAUACGGGCUAGCUAGAGUGUGGUAGGGGAGAUC